RNAcentral lists this ribosomal RNA (412 nucleotides) under uncultured microorganism. Its description in RNAcentral is "bacterial SSU rRNA". It matches the Rfam family "Archaeal small subunit ribosomal RNA", at positions 459 to 872 of the family's 1478-position model. The record is from RNAcentral.
CAGCCGCCGCGGUAAUACCAGCCCCGCGAGUGGUCGGGACGGUUAUUGGGCCUAAAGCGCCCGUAGCCGGCCCGGCAAGUCCCUCCUUAAAGCCUCGGGCCCAACCCGAGGACGGGGGGGAUACUGCCGGGCUAGGGGGCGGGAGAGGCCGGCGGUACUCCCGGGGUAGGGGCGAAAUCCGUUAAUCCCGGGAGGACCACCAGUGGCGAAGGCGGCCGGCUGGAACGCGCCCGACGGUGAGGGGCGAAAGCCGGGGGGGCGAACCGGAUUAGAUACCCGGGUAGUCCCGGCUGUAAACGAUGCGGGCUAGCUGUUGGGCGGGCUUAGAGCCCGCCCAGUGGCGCAGGGAAGCCGUUAAGCCCGCCGCCUGGGGAGUACGGCCGCAAGGCUGAAACUUAAAGGAAUUGGCGGG